AUUGAACGCUGGCGGCAGGCCUAACACAUGCAAGUCGAGCGGAUGAAGGGAGCUUGCUCCUGGAUUCAGCGGCGGACGGGUGAGUAAUGCCUAGGAAUCUGCCUGGUAGUUGUUGAUAACGUCCGGAAACGGGCGCUAAUACCGCAUACGUCCUGAGGGAGAAAGUGGGGGAGCUUCGGACCUCACGCUAUCAGAUGAGCCUAGGUCGGAUUAGCUAGUUGGUGGGAUAAAGGCCUACCAAGGCGACGAUCCGUAACUGGUCUGAGAGAAUGAUCAGUCACACUGGAAAUUAGACACGGUCCAGACCCCUACUGGAGGCGCCAUGGGGGAAUAGUGGACAAUGAGCUCAAGCCUGAUCCAGCCAUACCGCGGGGGGAAAGAAAGCCUUCUGGUUGUAAAGCCCGUUUAUUUUAAAAGAAAAACAGCAGGUUAAUACCCCGCUGUUCUGACCGUACCCAAAAAAUAAGCACCGGCUAACUUCGUG
RNAcentral lists this ribosomal RNA (484 nucleotides) under uncultured bacterium. Its description in RNAcentral is "partial 16S ribosomal RNA". It matches the Rfam family "Bacterial small subunit ribosomal RNA", at positions 30 to 507 of the family's 1533-position model. The record is from RNAcentral.